Molecule: ribosomal RNA, 786 nt
Filed under: Tarocystis fulva
Lineage: Eukaryota; Metazoa; Mollusca; Gastropoda; Stylommatophora; Helicarionidae
Description: partial large subunit ribosomal RNA
Source: RNAcentral
AAUUAUUAAAUUAAAACUGUAAAGGGAUAUAAAUUAAAUUAAUUAUUUACCUUUUGCAUAAUGGUUUAAUAACUUGUUUAUAAAUUAUAAAAUCUCGAAAUUAGAAGAUCUAAUUUUGUUUUGUUUAUAGAAUAUAUAAUGUUUCAUAAUUAUUAAUAAAUAAAAUUAGGGGUGAAAGGCUUUCCAAUUCUAAAGAUAUCUAGAAUAAUUUUAAAUGUAUUUAGUACAGAAUAAAUUUGAAUAAGAAAAUGUUAAGAUUUUUUUAUUAAGAAUAUUAAAUAUUUUAAUGGUUUAAUCUCCUUAUUAUAUUUUAUAAUAUAAUUUCAAAUUAAAUAAUCUAAAUAAAAUUAUAUUUUAAUUAAAUAUAAAUUAAUUAUGUUAAAAUUAGUAUAAAAUUUAUGUUUUAAUAAGGAAUUCGGCUAAUUAUUCAACUGUUUAUCAAAAACAUAGUUUUAUGAUAUAAAAUGUAACCUGCCCAUUGAUAAUUUUUAACGGCCGCAGUACCUUGACUGUGCUAAGGUAGCAUAAUAAAUUGACUUUUAAUUGGGGCCUUGAAUGAAAGGAUUAAUAAUUUCUGUCUUAUAAAAUUAAUUUAAAGUUACUUAAAAGGUGAAAAUACCUUUAAGUUAUAUAAUAGACGAGAAGACCCUAGGAGUUUUUAAUUUUGUUGGGGCGACAAUGUAACAUUACUUACAUUAAUAUAAAUUAUAACAAUAAUUUUAAUAAGAAAUAAACUACCCUAGGGAUAACAGCAUAAUUUAUUAAGUUUGUGACCUCGAUGUUGGA